This 213-nucleotide long non-coding RNA is filed under the name Physcomitrium patens. Its description in RNAcentral is "long non-coding RNA (PPAT_LNC001619)". Lineage: Eukaryota; Viridiplantae; Streptophyta; Bryopsida; Funariales; Funariaceae. The record is from RNAcentral.
CUAACUAUGUGGCCCACACGUAGAAAAACUUGCCUUGUAAGUCAAGGCAUGUGUCCUACAAAGUCAACACAUAUUGGAGGUCCUAUUGAACGUCGCCACGUAGCCCCUAGUUAGAUAGUAUAUAUAGAGACAAGAGUGAAGGCUUCUUCACUCUUGUCAACUCCUUUCUUGCUUCUAGUCCAGGUUCAAGAGUCUUUAGUUUCUUGUCUUGUG